GUCGUCCAAUCGACUGACUUAUAUUCCAACUGGACUUUUCCGGUCGCAGACUGGGCUCCGAUAUCUCUACUUACAGCGGAACCAAAUCAGUGUCCUGCAUGAUAAGGUGUUUGCGGGACUUCGCUCGCUGAAAGAACUGAUGAUAUUUGACAACCCAAUCACCGAGUUAGUGGACUGGCUGUUUUAUGAGACCAAACUGACACACCUGUACAUAUUCCAGACUCAACUUUCGUCGAUAGGGGAGCGGCCAUUUGCGACAAUGAACCACACUC
Molecule: long non-coding RNA, 272 nt
Organism: Patiria miniata (bat star)
Lineage: Eukaryota; Metazoa; Echinodermata; Asteroidea; Valvatida; Asterinidae
Exons: 3
Source: RefSeq, a predicted model, not a curated record